UACGUAGGUGGCAAGCGUUGUCCGGAUUUACUGGGCGUAAAGAGCGCGCAGGCGGUCGUUCAAGUCGCGUGUGAAAGCCCCCGGCUCAACUGGGGAGGGUCACGCGAUACUGAUCGACUGGAAGGCAGGAGAGGGUAGUGGAAUUCCCGGUGUAGUGGUGAAAUGCGUAGAUAUCUGGAGGAAUACCGGUGGCGAAGGCGGCAUCCUGGACCAUUACUGACGCUGAGGCGCGAAAGCUAGGGGAGCAAACGGG
This 253-nucleotide ribosomal RNA is filed under the name uncultured bacterium. RNAcentral's name for it is "partial 16S ribosomal RNA". It matches the Rfam family "Bacterial small subunit ribosomal RNA", at positions 524 to 776 of the family's 1533-position model. The record is from RNAcentral.